Molecule: ribosomal RNA, 2188 nt
Filed under: Listeria innocua
Lineage: Bacteria; Bacillati; Bacillota; Bacilli; Caryophanales; Listeriaceae
Description: partial 23S ribosomal RNA
Rfam family: Bacterial large subunit ribosomal RNA
Source: RNAcentral
GAUGAAGGUAAGGUAAUACUUACUGGAGGUCCGAACCCACGCACGUUGAAAAGUGCGGGGAUGAGGUGUGGGUAGCGGAGAAAUUCCAAUCGAACUUGGAGAUAGCUGGUUCUCUCCGAAAUAGCUUUAGGGCUAGCCUCGAGGUAAAGAGUCAUGGAGGUAGAGCACUGUUUGGACUAGGGGCCCUUCUCGGGUUACCGAAUUCAGAUAAACUCCGAAUGCCAUGUACUUAUACUCGGGAGUCAGACUGCGAGUGAUAAGAUCCGUAGUCGAAAGGGAAACAGCCCAGACCACCAGUUAAGGUCCCCAAAUAUAUGUUAAGUGGAAAAGGAUGUGGGGUUGCUUAGACAACCAGGAUGUUGGCUUAGAAGCAGCCACCAUUGAAAGAGUGCGUAAUAGCUCACUGGUCGAGUGACCCCGCGCCGAAAAUGUACCGGGGCUAAACAUAUUACCGAAACUGUGGAUGAACCUCUUCGGAGGUUCGUGGUAGGAGAGCGUUCUAAGGGCGGUGAAGUCAGACCGGAAGGACUGGUGGAGCGCUUAGAAGUGAGAAUGCCGGUAUGAGUAGCGAAAGAAGGGUGAGAAUCCCUUCCACCGAAUAUCUAAGGUUUCCUGAGGAAGGCUCGUCCGCUCAGGGUUAGUCGGGACCUAAGCCGAGGCCGAUAGGCGUAGGCGAUGGACAACAGGUAGAGAUUCCUGUACCAGUGCUAAUUGUUUAACCGAUGGGGUGACACAGAAGGAUAGGGAAUCGCACGAAUGGAAAUGUGCGUCCAAGCAGUGAGUGUGAGAAGUAGGCAAAUCCGCUUCUCGCGAAGCAUGAGCUGUGAUGGGGAAGGAAAUUAAGUACGGAAGUUCCUGAUUUCACGCUGUCAAGAAAAGCCUCUAGGAAGAGUAGUACUGCCCGUACCGCAAACCGACACAGGUAGAUGAGGAGAGAAUCCUAAGGUGAGCGAGAGAACUCUCGUUAAGGAACUCGGCAAAAUGACCCCGUAACUUCGGGAGAAGGGGUGCUCUAUUAGGGUGCAAGCCCGAGAGAGCCGCAGUGAAUAGGCCCAGGCGACUGUUUAGCAAAAACACAGGUCUCUGCAAAACCGUAAGGUGACGUAUAGGGGCUGACGCCUGCCCGGUGCUGGAAGGUUAAGAGGAGUGCUUAGCUUCGGCGAAGGUACGAAUUGAAGCCCCAGUAAACGGCGGCCGUAACUAUAACGGUCCUAAGGUAGCGAAAUUCCUUGUCGGGUAAGUUCCGACCCGCACGAAAGGCGCAACGAUCUGGGCACUGUCUCAACGAGAGACUCGGUGAAAUUAUAGUACCUGUGAAGAUGCAGGUUACCCGCGACAGGACGGAAAGACCCCGUGGAGCUUUACUGCAACCUGAUAUGGAAUGUUUGUACCGCUUGUACAGGAUAGGUAGGAGCCGAAGAGACGUGUGCGCUAGCAUACGAGGAGGCAAUGGUGGGAUACUACCCUGGCUGUAUGACCAUUCUAACCCGCCACGCUAAGCGCGUGGGGAGACAGUGUCAGGUGGGCAGUUUGACUGGGGCGGUCGCCUCCUAAAGAGUAACGGAGGCGCCCAAAGGUUCCCUCAGAAUGGAUGGAAAUCAUUCGCAGAGUGUAAAGGCACAAGGGAGCUUGACUGCGAGACUGACAAGUCGAGCAGGGACGAAAGUCGGGCUUAGUGAUCCGGUGGUUCCGCAUGGAAGGGCCAUCGCUCAACGGAUAAAAGCUACCCCGGGGAUAACAGGCUUAUCUCCCCCAAGAGUCCACAUCGACGGGGAGGUUUGGCACCUCGAUGUCGGCUCGUCGCAUCCUGGGGCUGUAGUCGGUCCCAAGGGUUGGGCUGUUCGCCCAUUAAAGCGGCACGCGAGCUGGGUUCAGAACGUCGUGAGACAGUUCGGUCCCUAUCCGUCGCGGGCGCAGGAAAUUUGAGAGGAGCUGUCCUUAGUACGAGAGGACCGGGAUGGACACACCGCUGGUGUACCAGUUGUUCCGCCAGGAGCAUCGCUGGGUAGCUAUGUGUGGCAGGGAUAAACGCUGAAAGCAUCUAAGCGUGAAGCCCCCCUCAAGAUGAGAUUUCCCAUUUCUUCGGAAAGUAAGAUCCCUGAAAGAUGAUCAGGUAGAUAGGUUUGGAGUGGAAGUGUAGCGAUACAUGGAGCGGACAAAUACUAAUCGAUCGAGGACUUAACCAAAA